Molecule: ribosomal RNA, 305 nt
Filed under: uncultured bacterium
Lineage: Bacteria
Description: bacterial SSU rRNA
Rfam family: Bacterial small subunit ribosomal RNA
Source: RNAcentral
UUCUCCUACGGGGCGCAGCAGUGGGGGAUAUUGCACAAUGGGGGAAACCCUGAUGCAGCGACGCCGCGUGGGCGAAGAAGUAUUUCGGUAUGUAAAGCCCUAUCAGCAGGGAAGAAGAAAUGACGGUACCUGAGUAAGAAGCACCGGCUAAAUACGUGCCAGCAGCCGCGGUAAUACGUAUGGUGCAAGCGUUAUCCGGAUUUACUGGGUGUAAAGGGAGCGCAGGCGGCACGGCAAGCCUGAUGUGAAAGCCCGGGGCCCAACCCCGGGACUGCUCUUGGAACUGCGUGGCUGGAGUGCAGGAG